RNAcentral lists this ribosomal RNA (2205 nucleotides) under Skeletonema menzelii. Its description in RNAcentral is "partial Bacterial large subunit ribosomal RNA". It matches the Rfam family "Bacterial large subunit ribosomal RNA", at positions 4 to 1985 of the family's 2925-position model. Lineage: Eukaryota; Bacillariophyta; Thalassiosirophyceae; Thalassiosirales; Thalassiosiraceae. The record is from RNAcentral.
UAAGUUAUUAAGGGCACACGGUGGAUGCCUUGGCAUUAAGAGCCGAUGAAGGACGUGUGAAUCUGCGAUAAGCCUCGGGGAGCCGAUAACUGGGCUGUGAUCCGAGGAUUUCCGAAUGGGGAAACCUGGCUCAUCUUCAUGGUGAGUUACCGCCAGCUGAAUGUAUAGGCUGGUUGGGGGGAACGCGGGGAAGUGAAACAUCUCAGUACCCGCAGGAAGAGAAAAUAAAGUAAUGAUUCUGUGAGUAGUGGCGAGCGAAAGCGGAAGAGACUAAACCUGUGGUGUGUGAUAGCGGUUAGGCGUUGCAUCAUGGGGGUUGUGGGAGUCACAGUGGCAGUUCUAACUGGCUGCCGGCAUGAUGUUCAGGAUGGUAGGUGAACGACUUGGAAUGGUCGGCCGUAGAGGGUGAGAGUCCCGUAAUCGAAAUUGUUCUGUCCGUGGUGUGGCCACCCGAGUAGCACGGGGCUCGUGGAAUCUCGUGUGAAUCUGCCAGGACCACCUGGUAAGUCUAAAUACUUCUUAAUGACCGAUAGUGAAUCAGUACCGUGAGGGAAUGGUGAAAAGUACCCCGGGAGGGGAGUGAAAUAGUACCUGAAACCGUGUGCUUACAAGCCGUUGGAGCCUUUUGGGGUGACAGCGUGCCUUUUGAAGAAUGAGCCUGCGAGUUAGUGUUAUGUCGCGAGGUUAACCCGUGUGGGGUAUCCGUAGCGAAAGCGAGUCUGAAUAGGGCGUUUGAGUGGCAUGACCUAGACCCGAAGCGGAGUGAUCUAUCCAUGGCCAGGUUGAAGCGACGGUAAGACGUCGUGGAGGACCGAACCCACUUCAGUUGAAAAUGGAGGGGAUGAGCUGUGGGUAGGGGUGAAAGGCCAAUCAAACUCCGUGAUAGCUGGUUCUCCCCGAAAUGCAUUUAGGUGCAGCGUCCCGUGGUCCCCGGCGGAGGUAGAGCUACUGGGUGGCUGAUCGGCCCCACAGGGUUAGUGACGUCAACCAAACUCCGAAUGCCGUUCGGGUUACAGCGGGGCAGUGAGACUGCGGGGGAUAAGCUCCGUGGUCGAAAGGGAAACAGCCCAGAUCGCCGGCUAAGGCCCCUAAGCGUGUGCUAAGUGGGAAAGGAUGUGCGGUCGCGCAGACAACCAGGAGGUUGGCUUAGAAGCAGCCACCCUUGAAAGAGUGCGUAAUAGCUCACUGGUCAAGUGAUCGUGCGCCGACAAUGUAGCGGGGCUCAAGCACACCGCCGAAGCCGCGGAUCCGCAGCGUGUACUCUCCUGUCCCUUGAUGGACGUGGCAGGGGUUGCGGGUGGUAGGGGAGCGUCCUGCACCGGGUGAAGCCUCGGAGUGAUCCAGGGGUGGAUGGUGCGGGAGUGAGAAUGCAGGCAUGAGUAGCGAUACUAGGGUGAGAAACCCUAGCGCCGAAUGACCAAGGGUUCCAGGGCCAGGCUAGUCCGCCCUGGGUGAGUCGGGACCUAAGGCGAGGCCGACAGGCGUAGUCGAUGGACGACGGGUUGAUAUUCCCGUACCGGCGAAGCACCGCCCAUGCUGACGCGCGGGUGCUAACCCACGCCGAUGGCCACGAACGCGUCAUGUGAUCACUUCGGUGGUCCGUGUCGUGGUGGUUGUUGGUCUGGGGACCCUCCGUGCAGGUAGGCAAGCGUAUUAACAGGGGUGACGCACAGUGGUAGCCUCCGCGGGCCUAAUGGCUUGGCCCGUUCAAGCGAGCAGCCCGCUGCCUAGGCAAAUCCGGGCAGCAUGAGGGUCAGACGUGAUGGUGACCCGCCCAUUUGGGUGGGGAAGUAGGGUGAUCCUGGGGUGCCGAGAAAAGCCUCGACGCGAUGGUGCCAGCCGCCCGUACCCUAAACCGACACAGGUGGUCGGGCAGAGUAUGCCUAGGCGCACGAGAUAAUCAUGGUGAAGGAACUCGGCAAAAUGCCCCCGUAACUUCGGGAGAAGGGGGGCCCAAGCCUUGAAGCUCCUUGCGGGCUAGGGGUGAGGGUCGCAGAGACCAGGGAGAAGCGACUGUUUACUAAAAACACAGGUCCGUGCGAAGCCGCAAGGCGAUGUAUACGGACUGACGCCUGCCCGGUGCUGGAAGGUUAAGAGGAUUGGUUAGCCCUUUUUUGGGCGAAGCUGAGAAUUUAAGCCCCAGUAAACGGCGGUGGUAACUAUAACCAUCCUAAGGUAGCGAAAUUCCUUGUCGGGUAAGUUCCG